GUAAAGGACACAGGUGAUUUCUGGUUUCAUGCCUUUAAAUGAGGAAAAUCUAGGAAUGUGGAAUGCCUGUUGCCAGGCAGUGAAGGAGGGGUUAGGUGAUGAGUUGCUAGGCUGCAGAAGAUGGAGUGUUCACUCCAAGAAAUAGCCAGCGAGACAUGCCUAGAGCUGAUGCAUUUUGGAGCUGCUCAGAACUUCCCUCUCUGUGGUCCUUGGAGGAGCUUCAGUACAGGUUACAGUGCCUAGCCAACCUGGUUUCUAGAAAAGAACAGGUGUGAAAUAAUGAAACUUCAUGCUGUCAACUCACAUAACCUGGAGCAAGUCCAGAAACUCAGAAUUGCUUGGAUCUGCAGAAGCCAAGGGGACAACCAAUCCGCCAUGAAGAACAGAUGUCAAAACUCAAGCCAUUUCCUUGAAGAUGGUACAAGGAAAAAGUCUUGUGUUUUAUCCCAUGGUCAUGCAAGUAUUGCUCCGUUUCAGAUGAGGUCUUGAAGAAAGAAUGAUAGAAGAAGGGCUGGGAAGGAGAUUGAAAGGAGGGGAGGAGAGUGCUCCUAAUUCCUGCAGCUGCCAGACUAACAGGAAGUAUUUAUGGGAUCUUAGUCACGGCUCUGCAACAGCUCAAGACCAAGGCCUAAUGAAUUCCCUCCCCCUGCUCCUACCAUGCAAAAAAUAUUACACAAUCUCUUGCUGCUAUUACCCUUGACUUGCCGAGGCAUAGAAAGUGCAGAGAGGGAAAAGAAGUGAAAACAAGGAUAAUCUAGAAUCCAGUUUCUCACUUUUAUGAACCAAGACAAGGAGGAGAAAGAAGAAGAAAAGAAUCACCACAGGAAACUAACCCAUUGGUGGCUGGAUUCAUUUUGCUUUAUAAAGCAAUCUUUUGAAAUUA
Molecule: long non-coding RNA, 883 nt
Organism: Hemicordylus capensis (graceful crag lizard)
Lineage: Eukaryota; Metazoa; Chordata; Lepidosauria; Squamata; Cordylidae
Exons: 4
Source: RefSeq, a predicted model, not a curated record